CGAAGUACGUAUGCUCCCCUCCCCUUACGACUUCGGACUGGCGGGCUUU
Molecule: small RNA, 49 nt
Organism: Pseudoxanthomonas dokdonensis
Lineage: Bacteria; Pseudomonadati; Pseudomonadota; Gammaproteobacteria; Lysobacterales; Lysobacteraceae
Rfam family: Xanthomonadaceae sRNA sX5
Source: Rfam